RNAcentral lists this ribosomal RNA (1975 nucleotides) under Escherichia coli 2-316-03_S3_C3. Its description in RNAcentral is "bacterial LSU rRNA". It matches the Rfam family "Bacterial large subunit ribosomal RNA", at positions 1 to 2001 of the family's 2925-position model. The record is from RNAcentral. Lineage: Bacteria; Pseudomonadati; Pseudomonadota; Gammaproteobacteria; Enterobacterales; Enterobacteriaceae.
UUAAGCGACUAAGCGUACACGGUGGAUGCCCUGGCAGUCAGAGGCGAUGAAGGACGUGCUAAUCUGCGAUAAGCGUCGGUAAGGUGAUAUGAACCGUUAUAACCGGCGAUUUCCGAAUGGGGAAACCCAGUGUGAUUCGUCACACUAUCAUUAACUGAAUCCAUAGGUUAAUGAGGCGAACCGGGGGAACUGAAACAUCUAAGUACCCCGAGGAAAAGAAAUCAACCGAGAUUCCCCCAGUAGCGGCGAGCGAACGGGGAGGAGCCCAGAGCCUGAAUCAGUGUGUGUGUUAGUGGAAGCGUCUGGAAAGGCGUGCGAUACAGGGUGACAGCCCCGUACACAAAAAUGCACAUGCUGUGAGCUCGAUGAGUAGGGCGGGACACGUGGUAUCCUGUCUGAAUAUGGGGGGACCAUCCUCCAAGGCUAAAUACUCCUGACUGACCGAUAGUGAACCAGUACCGUGAGGGAAAGGCGAAAAGAACCCCGGCGAGGGGAGUGAAAAAGAACCUGAAACCGUGUACGUACAAGCAGUGGGAGCACAGAGCAAUCUGUGUGACUGCGUACCUUUUGUAUAAUGGGUCAGCGACUUAUAUUCUGUAGCAAGGUUAACCGAAUAGGGGAGCCGAAGGGAAACCGAGUCUUAACUGGGCGUUAAGUUGCAGGGUAUAGACCCGAAACCCGGUGAUCUAGCCAUGGGCAGGUUGAAGGUUGGGUAACACUAACUGGAGGACCGAACCGACUAAUGUUGAAAAAUUAGCGGAUGACUUGUGGCUGGGGGGGAAAGGCCAAUCAAACCGGGAGAUAGCUGGUUCUCCCCGAAAGCUAUUUAGGUAGCGCCUCGUGAAUUCAUCUCCGGGGGUAGAGCACUGUUUCGGCAAGGGGGUCAUCCCGACUUACCAACCCGAUGCAAACUGCGAAUACCGGAGAAUGUUAUCACGGGAGACACACGGCGGGUGCUAACGUCCGUCGUGAAGAGGGAAACAACCCAGACCGCCAGCUAAGGUCCCAAAGUCAUGGUUAAGUGGGAAACGAUGUGGGAAGGCCCAGACAGCCAGGAUGUUGGCUUAGAAGCAGCCAUCAUUUAAAGAAAGCGUAAUAGCUCACUGGUCGAGUCGGCCUGCGCGGAAGAUGUAACGGGGCUAAACCAUGCACCGAAGCUGCGGCAGCGACGCUUAUGCGUUGUUGGGUAGGGGAGCGUUCUGUAAGCCUGUGAAGGUGUACUGUGAGGUAUGCUGGAGGUAUCAGAAGUGCGAAUGCUGACAUAAGUAACGAUAAAGCGGGUGAAAAGCCCGCUCGCCGGAAGACCAAGGGUUCCUGUCCAACGUUAAUCGGGGCAGGGUGAGUCGACCCCUAAGGCGAGGCCGAAAGGCGUAGUCGAUGGGAAACAGGUUAAUAUUCCUGUACUUGGUGUUACUGCGAAGGGGGGACGGAGAAGGCUAUGUUGGCCGGGCGACGGUUGUCCCGGUUUAAGCGUGUAGGCUGGUUUUCCAGGCAAAUCCGGAAAAUCAAGGCUGAGGCGUGAUGACGAGGCACUACGGUGCUGAAGCAACAAAUGCCCUGCUUCCAGGAAAAGCCUCUAAGCAUCAGGUAACAUCAAAUCGUACCCCAAACCGACACAGGUGGUCAGGUAGAGAAUACCAAGGCGCUUGAGAGAACUCGGGUGAAGGAACUAGGCAAAAUGGUGCCGUAACUUCGGGAGAAGGCACGCUGAUAUGUAGGUGAAGUCCCUCGCGGAUGGAGCUGAAAUCAGUCGAAGAUACCAGCUGGCUGCAACUGUUUAUUAAAAACACAGCACUGUGCAAACACGAAAGUGGACGUAUACGGUGUGACGCCUGCCCGGUGCCGGAAGGUUAAUUGAUGGGGUCAGCGCAAGCGAAGCUCUUGAUCGAAGCCCCGGUAAACGGCGGCCGUAACUAUAACGGUCCUAAGGUAGCGAAAUUCCUUGUCGGGUAAGUUCCGACCUGCACGAAUGGCG